This 67-nucleotide transfer RNA is filed under the name Tamarixia radiata. RNAcentral's name for it is "tRNA-His". The record is from RNAcentral. Lineage: Eukaryota; Metazoa; Arthropoda; Insecta; Hymenoptera; Eulophidae.
AUUUAAAUAAUUUAAUUAAAAUAUUAAUUUGUGGAAUUAAAAUUAUAUGAAUAUCAUAUUUUAAAUA